CUCACUUGGGGCCUCGGGCAUCAAGAAGCCUUUUUCUAAAGUUGCUCUCCAAACGAGAGAAUCUGCCCUUCUCUGCGACUCUCAAUCCUCGUAGAUUCAAAGUUUGGGUGUUGGAAAUUUAAGGCUUUCCUAUAAAGUAAUGCUUUAAGAUGGAGGCAAGAGACUUGGUUGUAGAUAUAUACAUGGGCAACUUAAUUUAAGUUUAUGUAUAUUGUCUUAUAGUGUGUUUUUAAUUUCGUUGUAUAUUAUAUGAGUUUCUUCUAUAUAGAGAAAUUGGGGACAA
Vitis vinifera (wine grape) is the source of this 283-nucleotide long non-coding RNA. RefSeq lists it as uncharacterized. The transcript has 2 exons. The record is from RefSeq and is a predicted model, not a curated record. Lineage: Eukaryota; Viridiplantae; Streptophyta; Magnoliopsida; Vitales; Vitaceae.